UUAAGCGACUAAGCGUACACGGUGGAUGCCCUGGCAGUCAGAGGCGAUGAAGGACGUGCUAAUCUGCGAAAAGCGUCGGUAAGGUGAUAUGAACCGUUAUAACCGGCGAUGUCCGAAUGGGGAAACCCAGUGCAAUUCGUUGCACUAUCGUUAACUGAAUACAUAGGUUAACGAGGCGAACCGGGGGAACUGAAACAUCUAAGUACCCCGAGGAAAAGAAAUCAACCGAGAUUCCCCCAGUAGCGGCGAGCGAACGGGGAGCAGCCCAGAGUCUGAAUCAGCUUGUGUGUUAGUGGAACGGUCUGGAAAGUCCGACGGUACAGGGUGAUAGUCCCGUACACCAAAAUGCACAGGCUGUGAACUCGAAGAGUAGGGCGGGACACGUGGUAUCCUGUCUGAAUAUGGGGGGACCAUCCUCCAAGGCUAAAUACUCCUGACUGACCGAUAGUGAACCAGUACCGUGAGGGAAAGGCGAAAAGAACCCCGGCGAGGGGAGUGAAAAAGAACCUGAAACCGUGUACGUACAAGCAGUGGGAGCACCUUCGGGUGUGACUGCGUACCUUUUGUAUAAUGGGUCAGCGACUUAUAUUCUGUAGCAAGGUUAACCGUAUAGGGGAGCCGCAGGGAAACCGAGUCUUAACUGGGCGUUAAGUUGCAGGGUAUAGACCCGAAACCCGGUGAUCUAGCCAUGGGCAGGUUGAAGGUUGGGUAACACUAACUGGAGGACCGAACCGACUAAUGUUGAAAAAUUAGCGGAUGACUUGUGGCUGGGGGUGAAAGGCCAAUCAAACCGGGAGAUAGCUGGUUCUCCCCGAAAGCUAUUUAGGUAGCGCCUCGUGAAUUCAUCUUCGGGGGUAGAGCACUGUUUCGGCUAGGGGGUCAUCCCGACUUACCAACCCGAUGCAAACUACGAAUACCGAAGAAUGUUAUCACGGGAGACACACGGCGGGUGCUAACGUCCGUCGUGAAGAGGGAAACAACCCAGACCGCCAGCUAAGGUCCCAAAGUCAUGGUUAAGUGGGAAACGAUGUGGGAAGGCACAGACAGCCAGGAUGUUGGCUUAGAAGCAGCCAUCAUUUAAAGAAAGCGUAAUAGCUCACUGGUCGAGUCGGCCUGCGCGGAAGAUGUAACGGGGCUAAACCAUGCACCGAAGCUGCGGCAGCGACACUAUGUGUUGUUGGGUAGGGGAGCGUUCUGUAAGCCUGCGAAGGUGUGCUGUGAGGCAUGCUGGAGGUAUCAGAAGUGCGAAUGCUGACAUAAGUAACGAUAAAGCGGGUGAAAAGCCCGCUCGCCGGAAGACCAAGGGUUCCUGUCCAACGUUAAUCGGGGCAGGGUGAGUCGACCCCUAAGGCGAGGCCGAAAGGCGUAGUCGAUGGGAAACAGGUUAAUAUUCCUGUACUUGGUGUUACUGCGAAGGGGGGACGGAGAAGGCUAUGUUAGCCGGGCGACGGUUGUCCCGGUUUAAGCAUGUAGGCUGGUUAUCCAGGCAAAUCCGGAUAAUCAAGGCUGAGGUGUGAUGACGAGGCACUACGGUGCUGAAGUAACAAAUGCCCUGCUUCCAGGAAAAGCCUCUAAGCAUCAGGUAACAUCAAAUCGUACCCCAAACCGACACAGGUGGUCAGGUAGAGAAUACCAAGGCGCUUGAGAGAACUCGGGUGAAGGAACUAGGCAAAAUGGUGCCGUAACUUCGGGAGAAGGCACGCUGGUGUGUAGGUGAAGCCCCUGCGGGUGGAGCUGAGACCAGUCGAAGAUACCAGCUGGCUGCAACUGUUUAUUAAAAACACAGCACUGUGCAAACACGAAAGUGGACGUAUACGGUGUGACGCCUGCCCGGUGCCGGAAGGUUAAUUGAUGGGGUUAUCCGUAAGGAGAAGCUCUUGAUCGAAGCCCCGGUAAACGGCGGCCGUAACUAUAACGGUCCUAAGGUAGCGAAAUUCCUUGUCGGGUAAGUUCCGACCUGCACGAAUGGCGUAAUGAUGGCCAGGCUGUCUCCACCCGAGACUCAGUGAAAUUGAACUCGCUGUGAAGAUGCAGUGUACCCGCGGCAAGACGGAAAGACCCCGUGAACCUUUACUAUAGCUUGACACUGAACAUUGAGCCUUGAUGUGUAGGAUAGGUGGGAGGCUUUGAAGCGUGGACGCCAGUCUGCGUGGAGCCAACCUUGAAAUACCACCCUUUAAUGUUUGAUGUUCUAACGUUGGCCCCUGACCGGGGUUGCGGACAGUGUCUGGUGGGUAGUUUGACUGGGGCGGUCUCCUCCCAAAGCGUAACGGAGGAGCACGAAGGUUAGCUAAUCCUGGUCGGACAUCAGGAGGUUAGUGCAAUGGCAUAAGCUAGCUUGACUGCGAGCGUGACGGCGCGAGCAGGUGCGAAAGCAGGUCAUAGUGAUCCGGUGGUUCUGAAUGGAAGGGCCAUCGCUCAACGGAUAAAAGGUACUCCGGGGAUAACAGGCUGAUACCGCCCAAGAGUUCAUAUCGACGGCGGUGUUUGGCACCUCGAUGUCGGCUCAUCACAUCCUGGGGCUGAAGUAGGUCCCAAGGGUAUGGCUGUUCGCCAUUUAAAGUGGUACGCGAGCUGGGUUUAGAACGUCGUGAGACAGUUCGGUCCCUAUCUGCCGUGGGCGCUGGAGAAUUGAGGGGGGCUGCUCCUAGUACGAGAGGACCGGAGUGGACGCAUCACUGGUGUUCGGGUUGUCAUGCCAAUGGCACUGCCCGGUAGCUAAAUGCGGAAGAGAUAAGUGCUGAAAGCAUCUAAGCACGAAACUUGCCCCGAGAUGAGUUCUCCCUGAGACUUUAAGUCUCCUGAAGGAACGUU
RNAcentral lists this ribosomal RNA (2814 nucleotides) under Klebsiella pneumoniae. RNAcentral describes it as "bacterial LSU rRNA". It matches the Rfam family "Bacterial large subunit ribosomal RNA". Lineage: Bacteria; Pseudomonadati; Pseudomonadota; Gammaproteobacteria; Enterobacterales; Enterobacteriaceae. The record is from RNAcentral.